This 240-nucleotide unclassified non-coding RNA is filed under the name soil metagenome. Its description in RNAcentral is "partial contains 5.8S ribosomal RNA, internal transcribed spacer 2, and large subunit ribosomal RNA". The record is from RNAcentral.
AAGACUAUAGACCUGCGGAGUACCUGCGGAAGGAUCAUUACAGAGUUGCAAAACUCCCUAAACCAUUGUGAACGUUACCUAAACCGUUGCUUCGGCGGGCGGCGCGCCCUCGCGCGCGCCCCUGGGCCCCACCGCGGGCGCCCGCCGGAGGUCACCAAACUCUUGAUAUUAAUUGGCCUCUCUGAGUCUUCUGUACUGAAUAAGUCAAAACUUUCAACAAUGGAUCUCUAGAUCGGAAGA